UCCUCUUCUUAGCAAUGGACUUCUAUCUGAAUCCAGCCAAGCUCUUGCCAGAGGAAUGAAAGAAGGAGAGGAUUAAGAGUUCUGAUUGCAAAUGGAGGGAAAUAAAUGUCAAGAUAAAUAAAAUUAAUGUGCUUUGGCAAAUAAAGGAAGCUGGAAAUACCAAAGAGAGAUGAAAUGUUGCUCCCUCCCCCAAACACACAGACUAAAGUCAACCAUGUUUGGCAAUUCUUGCUUCUUCCAGGAAGCAGUCCCUGAAAAUUCUCACAAAACAUCUCAUUCAUUAUUGUAUUUGAAUAAUAAAGUGGCACAUUUUGUAGUGUU
Molecule: long non-coding RNA, 321 nt
Organism: Bubalus bubalis (water buffalo)
Lineage: Eukaryota; Metazoa; Chordata; Mammalia; Artiodactyla; Bovidae
Exons: 2
Source: RefSeq, a predicted model, not a curated record